RNAcentral lists this ribosomal RNA (269 nucleotides) under uncultured prokaryote. Its description in RNAcentral is "partial 16S ribosomal RNA". It matches the Rfam family "Bacterial small subunit ribosomal RNA", at positions 524 to 792 of the family's 1533-position model. The record is from RNAcentral.
UACGGAGGAUGCGAGCGUUAUCCGGAUUUAUUGGGUUUAAAGGGUGCGCAGGCGGAAGAUUAAGUCGGCGGUGAAAUUUUGCAGCUCAACUGUAAAAGUGCCUUCGAAACUGGUUUCCUUGAGUGUAGAUGAAGUAGGCGGAAUUUGUGGUGUAGCGGUGAAAUGCUUAGAUAUCACGAGGAACUCCGAUUGCGCAGGCAGCUUACUAAACUACUACUGACGCUCAGGCACGAAGGCGUGGGGAUCAAACAGGAUUAGAUACCCGCGUA